GCGCCGGCCCCAGAAAGGACGGCGGGGAUUCCCGGGAAAGCUCCCGUUAGUGAGGAAGCUUAAGCCGAAAGGGCUUCGGGGGCCGAACCCCGCGUUUAAAGCCUGAACAAAUUGAGAGCCUAAGAUUAAGUGAUUCCCUGGGGGUCAGAGUCAGGGUCACAUCCCGCAGCCAGGUUCGCUGUGCGCCCGGUCUGGGGGAUGGGCUGGGUUGGGAGGCUCCUCGGUCUCGCUAGAAAUCCUGGCUGAAAGGGACGUUAACAGCCACUGCAGAGGGGAAACGUACAAUGGUCCCGGAUCUUGAAUCAAAGAACUUGGCGGCAGGCCCUGAGAGAAGCAGCUCUGCCCAGAGCAGCAUAGUUUGUGAGCGGUUUCUACCUAGCUCCCCUGACUCCGAAGCCAGCGGACUCCUUGGGGCUGGUGUCUUGGGUACCGCAGGAAGCCUUCUGGGCCUGACGCCGUACAUUACUUAAGUGCCAGAGACACGCUGUGUCCUGAGGGCCUGAUUGUCCGCUCCAAAGAUCAGUUGUGUAUCCCCAGCUUUUCUUGAGGCUGCCUUUUAUCGCUUUUGACUUCAUUUCCCUCUUCUUUGACUACUUUGUGGUAUAAUAGAAUCCUCUCUCUUUUUUUGAUUUUCUUUAAGCAUUUUUUCAAAUCCCUCCCUUUCUCCCCACCUUCUCCAGUUUGCCUUUCUUGAUGUCUUCCUCCUUUAAUUUAGUACCGUACGGACAUAUAAUAUGAAUUGGUGUAUGACUACCAUCUUGGAAAGUAUUUAUGCUCCUAAAAGGAGAAUAAAUAUGGGAGCUGGGUCUUCAGUAUCACAGUUGAAGUAACAGAUUUGUCAAAGAUGUUCUCACAUUUACCUGCUUUCCUGGCCAUCAUCAAAACCAGCUGCUGACCUGUUGCCAUGGCGUGGCAAGCCAGCUCCAGAACUCAGGACCAACCAGCAGGCAAGUCAGUUUCACUGAAUCGGCAGGGCACCCUGAAGAGGAGAUGGGAGAGCUCAGGUGCUGAGCAAGGCAAACUAGUGUCAGCACUUCAAUAACUACUUCCCUUCAGACAGAUGUGGCCAUGAUUCUAAGCCUAAGAGGACCCUUGGCCCUGACUGCAGUCAUUCCAUCAUCCAGGGAAUCAGCCUUGUGGAAAGUGGACCUAACCCCUGUUUGGACAACCCCUGACUUUGCAGCCAAAGCUACUGUGCACCUGGAGAAAAUGGGGCUUAUUGCCCAAGGUCUGUGCAUUGUCAGGUGAUUCAGUGUUGAAAUAGAUACAAUUUUAACACUGGAAAAUAACAUAAAACAGGAUGUGUUACCAUCUCCUUGCCACUGCACCUUAAAGACCUUGGGCUUGGACCAUCUGAAACCUGCUGUUUCUUUUCCCCUUACUAGAAUGUGAACUAUUUGAAUGCAGAAAUUUCUGUAAACAAUACUUGGCAAUGUGUUUUAUGCAUAGUAAUCAUUUAAUAAGUGAUUCACUCAUUCAUGGUCAGACACUUACCUUUUGCCCCAGCAAUGUUAAAGAGCACAGGAAAAAAAAAAUCGAGAGAUAUCAGACAGGAGUCCUUUGUAAACUUCUGGCCAACUGGACCUAAUCAUAAUGACCUAAUUGCCUCACUGCUUAGUGGAGAUUGUGCUGCACUUUUCCAGAAGAAGCUGACUUGUGAGUUGGCAAAAGAAAAACUUGACUCCCUCCAAUCUACGCUUCAGGGAGAAUUCUUCAGAUUAUAAACUUUGUGAUUUCUGUUCAGGAACAUGGACAUACACAGAAAGAAAAGACUAACUCAGAAACAAGUUAAAAACUGACAAAUUCUUUUUGGUUUCCUUGAAAGUAACUAGGCUAGAGAGCUGCUUUUGCUUUUUUGGAUUUUCUAUCCAGCUGCAAUAAUCACAAUUAAAAGAGAAAAGGAAAAACAUCACUAUUCAUUUGUUAACUGUAAAAAUGCAAUUCCAGCAGUAAUUGCAAUGGUUUGCAAUUUCCCCAGGUCAAUAAAUAGCUCCCAUAACUUUAAUAAACAUUGAUGCUCUGGG
RNAcentral lists this long non-coding RNA (2024 nucleotides) under Sarcophilus harrisii (Tasmanian devil). RNAcentral's name for it is "lncRNA (ENSSHAG00000022154.1)". The record is from RNAcentral. Lineage: Eukaryota; Metazoa; Chordata; Mammalia; Dasyuromorphia; Dasyuridae.